This 297-nucleotide ribosomal RNA is filed under the name uncultured bacterium. RNAcentral describes it as "partial 16S ribosomal RNA". It matches the Rfam family "Bacterial small subunit ribosomal RNA", at positions 537 to 828 of the family's 1533-position model. The record is from RNAcentral.
AGCGUUGUCCGAAAUUACUGGGCGUAAAGCGCGCGUAGGCGGUUUGUUAAGUCAGAUGUGAAAACCCCGGGCUUAACCCKGGAGGGACAGGUAAAACUGCCAAACUUGAGUAUKGGAGGGGAUAGUGGAAUUCCCGGUGUAGAGGUGAAAUKCGUAGAUAUCGGGAGGAAUAACCACGUGGCGAAGGCCGGCUACCUGGCCAGAUAACUGACGCUGAGGUGCGAAAGCGUGGGGAGCAAACRGGAUUAGAUACCCUGGUAGUCCACGCCCGUAAACGAUGGAAACUAGGUGUUGGGA